CUUGUACUUCCUCCGUCUGGAAAAUACUUGUCAUCAAAAUGAAUAAAAGGGGAUGUAUCUAGACGUAUAUUAGUUCUAGAUACAUCUCUUUUUAUCCAUUUUGAUGACAAGUAUUUUCGGAGAGAGGAAGUACUCC
Molecule: non-coding RNA, 136 nt
Organism: Triticum aestivum (bread wheat)
Lineage: Eukaryota; Viridiplantae; Streptophyta; Magnoliopsida; Poales; Poaceae
Source: Rfam